UGACCUCGGAUCAGGUAGGAAUACCCGCUGAACUUAAGCAUAUCAAUAAGCGGAGGAAAAGAAACCAACAGGGAUUGCCUUAGUAACGGCGAGUGAAGCGGCAACAGCUCAAAUUUGAAAUCUGGCUACUUUGUAGUCCGAGUUGUAAUUUGUAGAGGAUGCUUUUGGUGAGGUGCUUUCUGAGUUCCCUGGAACGGGACGCCAGAGAGGGUGAGAGCCCCGUACAGUUAGCAACUGAUCCUUUGUAUAGCUCCUUCGACGAGUCGAGUAGUUUGGGAAUGCUGCUCUAAAUGGGAGGUAUAUCUCUUCUAAAGCUAAAUAUAGGCUAGAGACCGAUAGCGCACAAGUAGAGUGAUCGAAAGAUGAAAAGCACUUUGAAAAGAGAGUUAAACAGCACGUGAAAUUGUUGAAAGGGAAGCGCCUAUGACCAGACUUGUUUCUAUCAGUUUUGGUAGUUUUCGGACUGCUUUACUCUGUUAGUACAGGCCAACAUCAGUUUGUUGUCGGGGAGAAAGGCUUAGGGAAUGUGGC
This 531-nucleotide ribosomal RNA is filed under the name Ambrosiella roeperi. RNAcentral describes it as "eukaryotic LSU rRNA". It matches the Rfam family "Eukaryotic large subunit ribosomal RNA", at positions 1 to 540 of the family's 3401-position model. Lineage: Eukaryota; Fungi; Ascomycota; Sordariomycetes; Microascales; Ceratocystidaceae. The record is from RNAcentral.